This 497-nucleotide ribosomal RNA is filed under the name uncultured bacterium. Its description in RNAcentral is "partial 16S ribosomal RNA". It matches the Rfam family "Bacterial small subunit ribosomal RNA", at positions 28 to 507 of the family's 1533-position model. The record is from RNAcentral.
GAUGAACGCUGGCGGCGUGCCUAAUACAUGCAAGUCGAGCGAACAGACGAGGAGCUUGCUCCUCUGACGUUAACGGCGGACGGGUGAGUAACACGUGGAUAACCUACCUAUAAGACUGGGAUAACUUCGGGAAACCGGAGCUAAUACCGGAUAAUAUAUUGAACCGCAUGGUUCAAUAGUGAAAGACGGUUUUGCUGUCACUUAUAGAUGGAUCCGCGCCGCAUUGGCUAGUUGGUAAGGUAACGGCUUACUAAGGCAACGAUGCGUAGCCGACCUGAGAGGGUGAUCGGCCACACUGGAAGUGAGCCACGGUCCAGACUCCUACGGGAGGCAGCAGUAGGGAAUCGUCCGCAAUGGGCGAAAGCUUGACGGAGCAGCGCCGCGUGAGUGAUGAAGGGCUUCGGAUCGUAAAACUCUGUUAUUAGUGAAGAACAAAUGUGUAAGUAACUAUGCACGUCUUGACGGUACCUAAUCAGAAAGCCCCGGCUAACUACGUG